UAUUUCUACUUCUUCUCAAUCUAAUAUUCUACAAUUUUCAACACAAAGGGUAAGUGGUAUUGAUGUUGCUCAACAAGUUUUAUUGCAAAGACAAAAAAGAACAAGGGAAUCCAGUUCUAUUUAUGAAUUUGACAAUUAUCUAACAACUUCUUUUGAGUUUGGUGAUAAUUAUGCAGAUGCAGAUUUUCCAAUUUUAGAUUGGUGGAGUCGUCACGCAAAUACUU
This 224-nucleotide long non-coding RNA is filed under the name Jatropha curcas. RNAcentral describes it as "long non-coding RNA (JCUR_LNC002142)". The record is from RNAcentral. Lineage: Eukaryota; Viridiplantae; Streptophyta; Magnoliopsida; Malpighiales; Euphorbiaceae.